This is a non-coding RNA of Triticum aestivum (bread wheat), 125 nucleotides long. Lineage: Eukaryota; Viridiplantae; Streptophyta; Magnoliopsida; Poales; Poaceae. The record is from Rfam.
GAACUACUCCCUCCGUCCAGAAAUACUUGUCGGAGAAAUGGAUAAAAAUGAAUGUACCUGGAACUAAAAUACGUCUAGAUACAUCCAUUCUUUCGACAAGUAUUUCCGUACGGAGGGAGUAUUAA